RNA transcript from Tupaia belangeri chinensis (Chinese tree shrew), 1263 nucleotides. It is a transcript of the gene named intraflagellar transport 22, with no coding region annotated. The record is from RefSeq and is a predicted model, not a curated record. NCBI's taxonomy places the organism in Eukaryota, Metazoa, Chordata, Mammalia, Scandentia, Tupaiidae. The transcript has 6 exons.
GUGGCGGCCCUGACGACGCGCGGGCUAGCGCAGCGUCGGAGUGGUCUCUGGCGGCCUACCCCGCGGCGGACCGCGAUGCUGAAGGCCAAGAUCCUCUUCGUGGGGCCCUGCGAGAGUGGAAAAACUGUUUUGGCCAACUUUCUGACCGAAUCUUCUGACAUCACUGAAUACAACCCAACCCAGGGAGUGAGGAUCCUGGAAUUUGAGAACCCACAUGUUACCAGCAACAACAAAGGCACGGGGUGUGAAUUCGAGCUAUGGGACUGUGGCGGUGAUGCAAAGUUCGAGUCCUGCUGGCCUGCUCUGAUGAAGGAUGCACAUGGAGUGGUGAUCAUCUUCAAUGCUGACAUCCCCAGCCACUUGAAAGAAAUUGAAAUGUGGUAUUCCUGCUUUGUCCAGCAGCAGUUCUUACAGGAUACUCAGUGUCUCUUAAUUGCACAUCAUAAACCAGGCUCUGGAGGUGAUAAAGGGAGCCUGUCUUUGUCGCCACCCUUGAACAAGCUGAAGCUGGUGCACUCAAACCUUGAGGAUGACCCUGAGGAGAUCCGGAUGGAAUUCAUAAAGUAUUUAAAAAGCAUAAUCAACUCAGUUUCUGAGAGCAGAGACAGGGAGGAGAUGUCAAUUAUCACCUAACCACCUUCACUUCCCAGAUGAAAUCAGCUUCCUUCCCAGUGCUGAUCUGAAAUCAGCCAGCUGCCGUUUUCUUCCCCUAUAGCUGUAGAAGACAUUUUCCUUCUCUGCUGGAAGGUAAUGAGGAGACCAGGCCUACUUAACAAUGCCAAAUGAAGGUACAGUUGAUCCUAUUCAUGGAUUUUGUGCUGGGGAAUUUGCCUACUCCCUAAAAUUUAUUUGUAACCCCCAAAUCAAUACUUGUGGCACUUUCUCAGUUAUUUCCAGAUAUGCACAGAAUGGCAAAAAAAAUCCCACUGAAUCACCUGACAUGUGGCCAGCUGAGGUCAAACAAGGGACACUCUGCCUUCUUGUUUCAGCUCUUACACUGUGAACAGGUGUCUUUGUUAUGGUCUACCUAGUGCCACCUUUUCAUAUUUUUUGUGCUUUUCUUUUCUCCACUGUUUAAAAUAACCCCAAGUAUAGUGCUGAAGUACUGCUAGUGUUUCUAAGUGCAAGGAGGCUGUGACAUGCCUUGUAAAGAAACUACAUGUGCAAGAGAAGCUUCUUUUGGAACCAACUGUUAGCGUAAUGGCUAUGUCGCUGGACUCCCACGUAGUCGACCAUGGUUCGUGUCCCGGACCCGGUGGCUUA